ACAUUUAGAUUUAGAUUUAACAUUUAUAUUAUUUAACAACUUUGUUCCUGCCAAAUGUUAUUCUUGGAAAAGAUAUUGCAUGAAUGUACAUGAAUUUCUCUCUAAAUGUAAAAAAAUGUGAAUAUUGUCGUGCUUUUUUGUUCAUAUAAUGCUAAAUGUAGUAAAACUGCGCAGGAUUUUAGAACGUGCGACAUUUUACAAACGGCGCCCCAUACCACACAGCUUGUUGAAUAUUAGAUAUUUCUACCUGUGUGAAUGUACUGAAUUCCACAAAUUGGCGUUGAAUAAUUACCCGCCGCAAAGUUGUGCCUUUUGCUUCAACUUGCGAUGUAAUUAGCAUAAUUUUCUAUCUGUCCCCCUAACACAUUGUCUAUGGGCACCGCUGGGAGGAUCUUUUAAGUUCUAAAUUGGUCUGGCAAUCUCCGCUGUCGCAUGUUGAGUGAUAAUAGUGAGGUCAGCCUUUGGUCAGCCAAAUAGUUAUGGGAGGAUAGAGACGUUCCAAUCUGUUUCACUGCUAUCAGCAAGUUUCCACCAUUUCAGUAAGACUGAGAGGGAUAAGAAUAAGAAUAAGAGGUUGUCUCAUUUCUACACAGGGAGUCAGUCAGCUCAUUUAAAUGAAUUGUUUGGUAAAACGUUGAGCGUUUUUUGGGCCGAAAAGAUUCUCUGUUCAAUUUGUAAUUUAGACAGUUUCCAGUUUAUCUUUCCCCUCCUCCAAUCGAUUAUGGUGACACUUUUAGCCGCAAAGAGCUAGAGGUGUAUCACUCAGACGAGUGUGUGUUUGUACUGGCUCGCUCACACACACUGAGCCACACCAGUACAGCUGAGGGUUGCUGCCUCAGUAGUAAUGAAUGUCAAGAGGCACGCUUUAAUAAAUUAGCCAUGCGUGUGUUCUACCUUAUUAAUGGCCUCAGAGGCAAGUCACAGCCUAUUUAAUGCAUUUCACUUAGUGCAGCUUAUGGGUGCAUUUCAUAAAACAUGGCAGCUUUUUAGACAUUUAUUCUGGCCAUAAAUUUAUUACCAUCUCUGUUUUCUUACCAACCCUCCCUCGUCUCUCUUGUUGCAUUUUCCAACACGCGCCACCUCCUCCCCUAGAUCAGCUGCUUCACACGUACUCCCCUGGCUGAGGUGACUCAUUUCUGGGUGAAAUAUGAUUCAACCUGGGACACUUAUGAUCAAUGUUUAUUAGGGAAAAAAUGAGAGAUGUUCAAAGAAGCACAGGCCACAAACUGUAAAGAUUGAUUUGAGCACACUAACAAUUUGCUGUAAAAUUACAAGUAAUUCUCAACCGCACAAUACUAUCAAAUAUAGCAAGCUAUUUAAAAAUAUAUAUAUUUUGAAUGGCCCACUACUGUUUAAAGUUGCAGUUUACUACUGUAUUUAUUCCUUUUUUCGGUUGACUCUAACUCUGCCCGUUACUUGCAUCAUAUACACACAUUGCAAGUGUUUACUUCUUAUUUAGCACAUUCAAUGUAAAAACUUUAUCUUAUUUUAUUCUUACAUUGCACCAAUUCACCAAGUAAAACCCCUUCAACAUAUAUGGCAAUAAAUGGCUUCUGAUUCUGAUCUGACCAAGACCGUGUAAAGAAAUCCAACCUCAUCCAUCCGUGAUUAUGUUCAGGGUGAAAAAGUUGCAAAAGAAGUACCCGAGUGGACCAAGCCAGAUAGCAGUUGACUCUGGGGGGAUCCGCCCUGGAGUCAGCACCGCAUGCUUCUCCACCUCGCCAUCAAACAACGCAGCGGACAGCGUAGUCCAUCCUGCCCAUGUGGCUCACUGAACAAGAUUUGUUCUAUUGAUGUUAAAUUGCCCCGGGAGACAGAGAACGUGGAGGGAGAAGAAGGAGCGUUAAAGAGAGAAACGUAUGCUUACUGCGGCUGACGUGGUUCCACCCUCAACUGUAGCCAGUGAAGGAAAGAGCCACCAAGCGACUGCCAGGGGGUUUGAAGACAUUUGAAGACAGAAAAUUAAGGGAGGGAUUGUCAUUACGUGUGUGCAAGUCCCUUUCUCAAUGUGCUUUCUUGUGGACUCAUAAAAAAGAGCUGCCAACUCUCACG
Long non-coding RNA from Gasterosteus aculeatus aculeatus (three-spined stickleback), 2052 nucleotides. NCBI's taxonomy places the organism in Eukaryota, Metazoa, Chordata, Actinopteri, Perciformes, Gasterosteidae. The record is from Ensembl.